GACGGAGGGCACCACCAGAUGUGGAGCCUGCGGCUUAAUUUGACUCAACACGGGAAAACUUACAGGUCCAGACAUAGUCAGGAUUGACAGAUUGAAGUUCUUUCAUGAUUCUAUGCAUGGUGGUGCAUGGCCGUUCUUAGUUGGUGGAUGUGAUCUGUNAGGUUAAUUCCGAUAACGAACGAGACCCCAGCCAUCUAACUAGCUGUAACUACUUCGGUAGUGU
Molecule: ribosomal RNA, 223 nt
Filed under: Haplosporidium echinogammari
Lineage: Eukaryota; Endomyxa; Ascetosporea; Haplosporida; Haplosporidiidae
Description: partial small subunit ribosomal RNA
Rfam family: Eukaryotic small subunit ribosomal RNA
Source: RNAcentral